AGUGUAGGCGGCUAUUUAAGUCGGAUGUGAAAGCCCCGGGCUCAACCUGGGAAUUGCAUUCGAAACUGAAUAGCUAGAGUUUGGUAGAGGUAAGUGGAAUUCCGGGUGUAGCGGUGAAAUGCGUAGAUAUCCGGAGGAACAUCAGUGGCGAAGGCGGCUUACUGGACCAAAACUGACGCUGAGGCUCGAAAGCGUGGGGAGCAAACAGGAUUAGAUACCCUGGUAGUC
RNAcentral lists this ribosomal RNA (228 nucleotides) under uncultured bacterium. Its description in RNAcentral is "partial 16S ribosomal RNA". It matches the Rfam family "Bacterial small subunit ribosomal RNA", at positions 568 to 795 of the family's 1533-position model. The record is from RNAcentral.